UCAUAUUCGAAGGUCCUUGAGCCGCAUAUGUGUCCGAUCUCUAAAGAUAUCCAUCGGGAUCAACCUUGAAUCUUUCUUCUCAUGGUAGAUCCUUCUUCUCCAAGUAGGAUCUUUGUCUCUUUGAACUUUGAUCAGCAAUUGAUCUUGACUGCAACUUUAACCCUUGAACUGCAGUCUUCUUCUCCUUGAUCCUUGCUAUAGAAGAGACCCUUCUCUUGGCAUAUGGAAGAUGGACACCCAACACUUGGACAUGAGAAAAAGAAAAGGG
This 268-nucleotide long non-coding RNA is filed under the name Elaeis guineensis (African oil palm). Its description in RNAcentral is "long non-coding RNA (EGUI_LNC049382)". The record is from RNAcentral. Lineage: Eukaryota; Viridiplantae; Streptophyta; Magnoliopsida; Arecales; Arecaceae.